UAUAUAUAUAUAUAUAUAUACAACAAUUCUUUUUUUAAGAAAUAGAUCCCUCACCUGCGCCACGUUGCUGCCGUCGCCGCCGCCAGGUAAGUCCUCUCCUCCUCUUCCUCCUUCUCCUCCUUUUGUCUUCUGAUGCGGGGCGAGUCUAAGGCAAGAGACGAGAGUCUGCGCUUUUAACCUAAGUAUUUUCUAUUUUUAAGAAACGGUUGUCUGACUUCUAGUAAUUCCGGAAACGCCUCGCCGCGGUGUCAUCUCGUUUCCAUGUCGGAAACGUUUCGGGAGGGGAAACCCCACCCAGUCUCGUUUCCAUGUCGCAAUAAGUUUCAGUUGGAAAACAAACCCAAUUCGCGAAAGAGCUAAAAAUGCAAAACCCACUCUUGUAACAAUUAGCUGAUGGAAGGAACCCAUAGACAUUUAAAGUAUGAGCGUAUACAAUGACGAGCCCAAAACGCCCUUUUCUCAUUUCCGUUGUCUUUGCUUCCCUCUCCACUGCUACUGGCAUCUCCCCUCCUGUCAG
Molecule: unclassified non-coding RNA, 517 nt
Filed under: Hevea brasiliensis (rubber tree)
Lineage: Eukaryota; Viridiplantae; Streptophyta; Magnoliopsida; Malpighiales; Euphorbiaceae
Source: RNAcentral